GUAGGUGGCAAGCGUUGUCCGGGAAUUAUUGGGGCGUAAAGCGCGCGCAGGCGGUUUUUUAAGUCUGAUGUGAAAGCCCACGGGCUCAACCGUGGGAGGGUCAUUGGAAACUGGAGAACUUGAGUGCAGAAGAGGAGAGCGGAAUUCCACGUGUAGCGGUGAAAUGCGUAGAGAUGUGGAGGAACACCAGUGGCGAAGGCGGCUCUCUGGUCUGUAACUGACGCUGAGGCGCGAAAGCGUGGGGAGCAAACAGGAUUAGAUACCCUGGUAGUCCACGCCGUAAACGAUGAGUGCUAAGUGUUAGAGGGUUUCCGCCCUUUAGUGCUGCAGCAAACGCAUUAAGCACUCCGCCUGGGGAGUACGGUCGCAAGACUG
RNAcentral lists this ribosomal RNA (375 nucleotides) under uncultured organism. RNAcentral describes it as "partial 16S ribosomal RNA". It matches the Rfam family "Bacterial small subunit ribosomal RNA", at positions 527 to 896 of the family's 1533-position model. The record is from RNAcentral.